CCUUUGCAGAUGGAUUGAAAGAAGCUUGUGGAGGGAGACAGUGCAGGCUUGCUGCCUCCCGGGCGGCUGCGGGCUGAGAACAAUGGCCCCUUCUGUGUGCAGUGCAACGGGGACAGACACGGUACACCCAGUCCCAGGCGAGUGCCCGCACUCAGGAUUGGAGGCAAGUCAGAGCCGUGGGGGCGGGGAGCAGGCUGGCAUUGACACUCCCGUUACGGAUUAUUUUGAUCUCAACUUUCAGCAUUUCUACCUCCCCCACAGGUAGGAGGCAGCAGAGAGGAAGUGGUCGGCCCAGGCUUUCCGGAGCCUUGGGGAAGCAAGCAGACCACAGGAUUUCCAAGGGGACAAGGGAUUCUCUUCUGCAGUGGGAGCAAGGCCCGUGCACCCGUGUGGAGUCAGACCCCAGGGAGUGCCCUCCGGGAGCUGUGUAUGCAACAUGCUUUACAUGAGCCACUGAGUAUCCUGUGUUUUGGGGUAAACAGAGCCUUCUUGAUGAUCUAACAUUCCGCCAGAAAUAGAAGCAGAGAACGCCCAGCUGAAGCUCAUAAUUUGAAGCUUUCAGGCAAGAGACGAGCGACCUCUGCUGGCCAUUCUUGGGUAAGCCACGGGCCCUCUUGCAGCUGAGUCUUAUCCAUUCCUCUAAUGAGGAGAAAAACCAACUCAUGGAAUCCAGUGUCCAGGAUCUGCUCCCAUAGGAGCAAAACUAUACCUGGAAGGCCAUAGAUGAUCUGAAAUAUUUAUGCAAGAAGAUUACCUCACAAGUAGACCCAUCAAAAGCAAUGUGCUCUUUGGCAAGACUUGAGGGGUGCAGGGAUGAUGUCCGUACCAGAAAAUUGCCAACACACCCAUUGCCCACGCUCUAUAUUUGAUUAGACCACGUCCAGGCGGGCCCGUGCGGAGGUUGUGGCUUUCCCUGAGCUGAAGAAUGGAUUUGACGGGGAGGAACAGAAGCCCUGAGGUGGGCUUACUGUGCCUUCAUUCACUGAUAAGACCACCUCCCCCCAUCCCCAGCUGGUGGUUUUAAUUGUCCUUUUUGCCUGGUGCCCGGGAGAGCGCACUACAGUCAGGUGAAAGAUACACAGAAGCAGGCUGUCCAGGUGACUCCUGUUACAUGUCUGCUCUAAUAUCCUCAGCUCAUUACUUACGUCCCGUAUGUGGUUCCAGAUGGCUGAUGUGCCGGCCAUCACACUCUUGGUCUAGACAGAAAGCUGGGUGAAGAGCAUAAAGUAUGUUCCCCCGUGGGGAGUGUCUCCCUUAAGGAGAUUUCCAGGGAGUCCCAUCCCAUGACUUUUAUGUGCAUCUCACUGGUUACAUCUACCUGCAAUCGAGGCUGAGAAAUGCUGGUUUGCAGUUGGACACAUUACUGCCUUGAAUGACAUCAAGGUUGUGUAACUAAAGAAAAAUGGAAGAAAGAAAAUUGAGUAAGCAAAUGAUCUCUACACACACGUCCAGCUGAACAAUCCUCAGGCCAGAUUUGAACAUCUGUCCUGGUUGAUGAACAAAGAUCAUCAUCGACAGCGGACACCCAGGGCUCCGAGAUGGCAUCAGUUGUAUUGGCCAAAGAGAAGAAACUCAUGGAUGUCAAAAUAGGGGAGCCGGUGAGCUAGAUACUGAUGUGGAAUUUCACUCUGAAGGCACAGUUGGAGCAUUUCAAAGAGGUAUGGCAAGAUGUGGGGCAAGUACCACCAAGAAGUAUUGCUGUUAUUAGGAGUCUGGUGUGAAGAAAUGAAACGUUGCUGAGGUCUCGACAGAGCUGGAGGCUUAUGUGCUUUAUUAUCUCCGGUUGACCCUUGAACAGCACAGGGGCUAGGGGCACCCACCCCCUGUGCAAUCAAAAAUCCAAGUGUAACUUUGGACUUCCACAGAACUUAGCUGCUAAUAGCCUACUGUGGACCAGAAGC
This is a non-coding RNA of Manis javanica (Malayan pangolin), 1901 nucleotides long. NCBI's taxonomy places the organism in Eukaryota, Metazoa, Chordata, Mammalia, Pholidota, Manidae. The record is from RefSeq and is a predicted model, not a curated record.